AUCACACACUAAAUUGCUAAGGUUAUAAAAUCACGCUUGAAAUGCAACUGAAUGUAGACUACAAAUUUGUUUGUCUUUUGAAGUGUAAUCCAUUGUAACCAAAUCUUUUUCAAUUCAUUUUGCACAGUUCAAUUCAUAAUAAAAGAAAAUAUAUGUUGAAAACUGAGCUCAAUGAGGGUGAACUAACCUUUGACCAUGUAACCUUUGUUGAACAAAAAGAAGUUUGUCAAAUAAAUGAUAUUGCAAACUUCCAGAAUUCUUAAAGAAUGACAAAAUUAUACAUGAGGUCGCUUUAUCAUAAGACUUCCCCAUGCAUGUCUCAUAUGAGCAGAAAUAACUAAAGGGAAGUUAUUUCAAACAUGACGUAGUCUACAGUGCAAAAGUUCUUUACACCACAAUAAAGUUGCAUAAUUUGCAACAAUUUGAACUAUUUAUUCCCAAAGCCUCUACCACUAAGGAAAUUGCAACCAACAUAUAGAAUGAACAACUUGACUACUUUAAUGUUAUUAUGA
Molecule: long non-coding RNA, 512 nt
Filed under: Vitis vinifera (wine grape)
Lineage: Eukaryota; Viridiplantae; Streptophyta; Magnoliopsida; Vitales; Vitaceae
Description: long non-coding RNA (VVIN_LNC000234)
Source: RNAcentral